This 263-nucleotide ribosomal RNA is filed under the name uncultured bacterium. Its description in RNAcentral is "partial 16S ribosomal RNA". It matches the Rfam family "Bacterial small subunit ribosomal RNA", at positions 793 to 1055 of the family's 1533-position model. The record is from RNAcentral.
GUCCACGCCGUAAACGUUGGGCGCUAGGUGUGGGGACCAUUCCACGGUUUCCGUGCCGCAGCUAACGCAUUAAGCGCCCCGCCUGGGGAGUACGGCCGCAAGGCUAAAACUCAAAGGAAUUGACGGGGGCCCGCACAAGCGGCGGAGCAUGUGGAUUAAUUCGAUGCAACGCGAAGAACCUUACCUGGGCUUGACAUGCACUAGAAACCGGCAGAGAUGUCGGCCCCCUUGUGGUUGGUGUACAGGUGGUGCAUGGCUGUCGU